UACGUAGGGGGCGAGCGUUGUCCGGAAUUACUGGGUGUAAAGGGAGCGUAGACGGCAGGGCAAGUCUGGAGUGAAAGGCAGGGGCCCAACCCCUGGACUGCUCUGGAAACUGUCCGGCUGGAGUGCAGGGGAGGUAAGUGGAAUUCCUAGUGUAGCGGUGAAAUGCGUAGAUAUUAGGAGGAACACCAGUGGCGAAGGCGGCUUACUGGACUGUAACUGACGUUGAGGCUCGAAAGCGUGGGGAGCAAACAGG
This 253-nucleotide ribosomal RNA is filed under the name uncultured bacterium. RNAcentral's name for it is "partial 16S ribosomal RNA". It matches the Rfam family "Bacterial small subunit ribosomal RNA", at positions 524 to 776 of the family's 1533-position model. The record is from RNAcentral.